GAUGUUCUCUAAACAAGCAAAAUUCACAAGUAUAUAAAUGUAGAUUGUAGCUUAUCACAUAACAAAACAUGUUUAAGUAAAAUUUGGAAUGUUAUACAAUUAAAUUAUGGAGUUACAAUCUACUAAACUUUAAUGGGAAAUGUACCUGGUUCACGAGGACACGGCCAUCACUAUGGAGGCCAAUAUGGACAGGGAGGGAACACGCCUUACGGGCCCUACGCCCAAGGACCUGGACAUGAUGUCCCCCCAACAGCCAACGUGACCCCCCCAACAGCCAACGUGACCCCUCCACCCGUAGGAGGAGGACAGGCCCCAGGCUAUCAAACUGGACAUGGCUAUGGCGGUCAGGGCUAUCCCAGUCAAGGUUAUCCAGGUCAGGGCUAUCCUCCUCAAGGCCAUCCUGGUCAAGGAUAUCCUGGACAGGGCUACCCCGGACAAGGACCACCUGGCGGCGGUAUUAUGCAAGGCAUGAGUCAUAUGGCGUGCUGCGCUGCGUUGAUGGGCUGCAUGACGUUUCUUAUGACGUCCUGCUGCAAGUGUCAGGGUGUUGGAAUUGGUGAUGGUGAAGUGGGUGGUGGAAUCGGGAAUGACGGACAUGGGGGCCCGAUCCCAGGUCAAACUCAAGUGGUGCCUCCUGGUGAAGUGGGUGGCGGUGGUACUGGAGGGGGUGGAAUCGGGAAUGACAUCCUUGGGGGCCUAAUUCCAGGUCAAACUCAAGUGACACCUCCUCAACUAGGACCUGCAUCAGAAGAUAUAGACCACGAUUCACAUUAAGUUGACUGUUCACAAACAUUUAUUCACGCAAAAAAAUUACAGACGCUGUAUGAUUUAAGCCUUUGUCUCCCAAGUAUUAAGAUUAUUCAGCGCUUAAAAUGUAUGUGCUAUGUAUCUAUAUACUAUGGUAACUUUGAAUAAAGUAGUGAAAAUCAAUUAUAAAAUUAUUACAUGUAAACUUUUUGCUGUUUAAACAUCGUAACUGCGUAGGACGGAUCCCCGUGUUUACAAUAUUUAAACAGCAAAAAGUUAUAGUCCAUAUACUUUGCGCCAAACAAAAUACACUGAAGUUAGCCGCAGUUAAAAUAUUAUACAACUCGAUGGGUCAAAGUAUGUACAAUUCCGCUACGCUUGAAUAUAUAGAAGGCAGGUUAAAGAUUCAGUAAAUUAUAUAGUUUGGCCUGCGAGAGUUGGCGGGAUAAUGGCGGCAAAAUUUAAAUAAUUUAAAUUCUUUGUGUAGCACGGCACGAUACGACAUAGAUAUGUUCAUCAAAAGCGCGUACACCUUCCUUAAAGGCUGGCAACGCUCCUGUGAUUCCUCUGGCUUGCAAGAGAAUGUGGGCGGCGGUGAUCACCUAACACCAGGUGACCCGUACGCUCGCAUGUCGUUCCUCUUUCAUAAAAAAACAGAGGGAUGAAAAUUAAAAAAGCAUAAAUUUUAAUGCCUCAACUACCCUUACUCAAUUACCCUUACUAGGUAUGUUGUUAAUAUUUUAAAUUUAGGUUGUAUAUAAUACUUAGGAUAUAAAUGAUAUUUAGAUAAAAAGUUACCCCCACUCGCCCCUUGUCAUACAAUGUCACACUUUGUCGAUCCCCUCCUUCCCCUUUAACGUUGUGACGUAAGUUAUUAGUCCUUAGGGCUAUAUGUCACCAGGACACCACGGCGGCGCAACCAGUCACCGCUACCAACAAAAUGUAUGCAGCUCCAUAGAGAGUUGCCCAUCUCGUGUCUGUUUGGUUGCGCAACCAGCUCGGACGCGUCAUGACUGUGGUGUCAGUAUGGUGUCUAGUUUGGUAGCUUACGGACAUCAGUGGCGCAACCAGUCGCCGCUACCAACAAAAUGUAUUCAGCUCUAUAGAGAGUUACUCAUCUGGUGUCUGUUUGGUUGCGCAACCAAUUGGUGACGCGACCCGCUCGGACCUUUCAUGACUGUGGUGUCAGUAUGGUGUCUUGUUUGGUAGCUUACGGACAUCAGUGGUGCAACCAGUCGCUGCUACCAACAAAAUGUAUUCAGCUCUAUAGAGAGUUACUCAUUUGGUGUCCGUUUGGUUGCGCAAACAAUUGGUGGCGCGACGAGCUUGGAUGCGACAUGACUCUAGUGUCAGUAUGGUGUCUAGUUUGGCAGCUUACGGAGACCGUGGUGUCCCGGUGCAAUGAAGCCCUAAGUUCUAAGAACGAGAAUCAAGUACCGAGUAUACUCCUUAUAUAUCAUUCUCCCGCUUUAUAAAGGUUAAAUAAACGUUAUAUCACGGUUUUUUCCGUUGCCGACUCAUAGCUAGGAGCACAGUUUGGUAUACAUAUUUGCUUAACAACACCGUACGCUCCGCUUCCGUACCGAAACCUUACGCUUACUGUACGUAUUGUAUUUGUAAAUCUUAACCGAUAAUAAAUAUUUAUUCACAAUCUG
Molecule: long non-coding RNA, 2402 nt
Organism: Leptidea sinapis
Lineage: Eukaryota; Metazoa; Arthropoda; Insecta; Lepidoptera; Pieridae
Exons: 6
Source: RefSeq, a predicted model, not a curated record